This 537-nucleotide ribosomal RNA is filed under the name uncultured bacterium. RNAcentral describes it as "bacterial SSU rRNA". It matches the Rfam family "Bacterial small subunit ribosomal RNA", at positions 31 to 542 of the family's 1533-position model. The record is from RNAcentral.
GACGAACGCUGGCGGCGUGCUUAACACAUGCAAGUCGAACGGAAAGGCCCAGCUUGCUGGGUACUCGAGUGGCGAACGGGUGAGUAACACGUGGGUGAUCUGCCUUGCACUCUGGGAUAAGCCUGGGAAACUGGGUCUAAUACCGGAUAUGACCUCUGACUGCAUGGUUGGGGGUGGAAAGCUUUUGCGGUGUGAGAUGGGCCCGCGGCCUAUCAGCUUGUUGGUGAGGUAAUGGCUCACCAAGGCGACGACGGGUAGCCGACCUGAGAGGGUGAUCGGCCACACUGGGACUGAGACACGGCCCAGACUCCUACGGGAGGCAGCAGUGGGGAAUAUUGCACAAUGGGCGCAAGCCUGAUGCAGCGACGCCGCGUGGGGGAUGACGGCCUCGGUUGUAACGUACCUUCGUCCUACGGACGGAAGGACGCGAACGUAGACGGUACCGUACGGAGGAAGGAAGGACGACCGGACCCGAACCGUAACCGUUACGGCCGACGCCGACGCCGGCCGGGUAAAACGGUAGGUUAGGUGGUUACG